Long non-coding RNA from Oxyura jamaicensis (ruddy duck), 1733 nucleotides. RefSeq lists it as uncharacterized. The transcript is spliced from 5 exons. NCBI's taxonomy places the organism in Eukaryota, Metazoa, Chordata, Aves, Anseriformes, Anatidae. The record is from RefSeq and is a predicted model, not a curated record.
AGAGCUGGUGCCCAGCCUAAGAGAAGAGUUGCCAUUGACUCGGUGUGAGUUGAAAAGACAGAGCUCCAUCAGCUGGAACGUGAUCUGUGGAAACAACCUUGCUCUUCCAAAGGUGGCCUGAUGGUCAAACACUAACUCCAACCCUCUGCAUCUUGCAAAACUUCACAAGGUCAUGCUGAGGAGCAGAAAGGCUUUAAAUGAAUCCUGCACGGAAAUUCGUGGAAGUGACCGCCAUCUUCAGAAUGUGCACAGAUGCAUAAGGUUGGUCGCCUCACUUCUGUCAGUGAUUUGUCCUGGAGGCAUACUGAGAAAAGACAGGAACACUGAAGAAAUUUAUAUUGCAUUCUUUCAUUGAGAUACAUAUAACCAGAGGGAGAUGGCUACGUUCAAACUACAGAACCUAUAUUUGACUUCCAAGGUACAGUUCAUGUGCUUGCGCUGCUCAUCCCACAGUGCCAUGUUCAUAAGUCUUCUUUUGACUGCACUAUACAACUCCUCCGAAAGGCAUCAUGGCUGCAGUGUCAGGAUUGAAUUAAAACAUCAUAAAGAGGUGCUUUCCUGGGAACUAAUAAAAUCAAGUUCAGUGCAAGAACAGUUCUACAUGAUCUCUUUGGCCUCUGACGUUUUUCAAAAGAAAAAAAAAAAUUGCUUAUUCCUCACUUUUAAGCAAAUGAUCAUUCGGACUAGAAUUUAUUUCAGAGCAUCACUGUGAACAUUCUUGUUCAAGUGACCUUUACCAGGGGGGAAUACCACGCUCUGAUGGAGUGACAGAUUUGAACUGGCCCUUUUCCUGUCUAACAGCAGUGACUUCUGAACUUCGCUGUGGGUUUGUCUUGACAAGAAUGAAAAGCUGCUUUCAGAGGAUGGAAGCUCACAAGCUAUGUGUUGUUGUACACACGCGCAAGCAUAUAUCCCCCUGCAUACUCUCUUUUCCUCUAAUCAAGAUGAACCGGGUGAGAGCAGAAUCAGACAUCAGAACAGCACAACCCACAGGUAGCAGGCAGAGGGGAGAGGAGAGAUGCAGGAGAACCAUGUUACAAAAGACAUUUAUUAAUCAUGAACUAACUGUAAAGUCAUCAGAGCCACCCCAGUGGCCCUGACUGAAAACUCUGGUCUGCUACUAGUGUGACUUUCACAGCACUCUCUGCAUGGGCUGCUUCUGUUCUUGAGCUGAAACACGAGUUGAAGCUGACUGCAUUAUAUUUUGACAAUCCAUUUAAAAAAAAAAAAAAGAAUUUAUUUGCUAAUCCUUCAGGGGGAAGGGAGUAUAGAGGGACUAAGAGCACGUGAUGGAGGAAUCCAGCUUUCUAAUUUACACUGACCUUCAGGCUUGACCAUAAACUUUUACCACCCCCAAAUGAACAUUUCAUUUCAUUCUGGAGAUAUGUUUUGGUGCAUGUAAAAAAAUCUGACCACUUUUUUACAUGCACAAAUACAGACUAAGCUCUUUUGAAAGCCGCGACCUGUGAUGUGGACUUAAAAUCUGCCUCUUAAUAUAUACUUUUGCCACAAUUGUCUGUAUGAUCUAGUCUCUCUCUAGUCAUCUCCUCACUCUCAGGGCACUGCAAAUACUCCAAGAAACUGUAUGCCUCAACUAUAUCUGAUUUCAUUCUCUCACUCCAUUGGGCUAUCUGCUGACCUAAAUGUGUGAUAGCGAGAAAUCACCACCUAAUUAAGGCAUAAUAGGAUGCCAAUGAAACAAAAUAAAUAAAAAUCAGAAAGGAUUUUAAGAA